CAGCUGGUCCUGUGUUACAAUGAGUUAUCACAUUAUCUGAAGAGUUCUCGAGAUAAUAUGAUAACGCACGCGCAUUUUGGACCAGCUGUUAGCUUAAAGUCUGAAUUAAAGACACCGAGUGUGUGCUCAUUACAUGAUGUCAUGUCGGUCAAUCGAUUAAACGGAACGACACUGCAAUUUGAUGGUUUUAAUUGACAUUUGGUAACAAUGGCGCACUGUCUAGAGGCGAAGAUAAUUUUAUGAUUAGGCGACGUUAUGCCUCUAUUCAUCUUCCCACAUGGCCUCAGACUCAGCACGGAAGCCUACAUCAAAUGCCUGCAGGUGGUUGGACUGCCCUGGGUCAAGAGGGUGGCUGCUGGAAGAACCUAUGUUUAACAACAGUACUCUGCAUCGUGCCACACAAGCAGGGGAACCCAGUCAUGGCUGUCAGACAAUUUCUGCGACAACAUCACACCUAACAUCUAACCACGUAACUCCCCAGACUUACAACUCUCUUGAUUAUUAUGUGUGGGGUGCCGUUGAGCGAGAGACUAAUAAAACUCCUUUGUAACACCAAGGAUUAUGGCGGCAUUCAGGAACUUAAACAAAAAGACUCUCCAGGAGAAUUGCAGGAAAUUUCGAAGUUGUCUGGAGGCCGUAGUUGAAGCCAAUGGCGAUUUUAUUGAAUAAAUUUACUAUGUAGUAUUUCAAGACAUUUUUAUGUAAUUUUGGUAAAUAUAUCUGUUAAAAUGAGAUGUCCAUGUUAUUCUCAUUUUUGUAUAAUUUAGACGACAGUUCAUUCAC
Octopus bimaculoides (California two-spot octopus) is the source of this 783-nucleotide long non-coding RNA. RefSeq lists it as uncharacterized. The record is from RefSeq and is a predicted model, not a curated record. Lineage: Eukaryota; Metazoa; Mollusca; Cephalopoda; Octopoda; Octopodidae.